This 322-nucleotide ribosomal RNA is filed under the name uncultured eukaryote. RNAcentral describes it as "partial 18S ribosomal RNA". It matches the Rfam family "Eukaryotic small subunit ribosomal RNA", at positions 1470 to 1796 of the family's 1831-position model. The record is from RNAcentral.
CCCUUAGAUGUUCUGGGCCGCACGCGCGCUACACUGAUGCAUUCAACGAGUGUACCUUGGCCGAGAGGCCUGGGCAAUCUUUUGAACGUGCAUCGUGAUAGGGAUAGAUUAUUGCAAUUAUUAAUCUUGAACGAGGAAUUCCUAGUAAACGCAGAUCAUCAAUCUGCAUUGAUUACGUCCCUGCCCUUUGUACACACCGCCCGUCGCACCUACCGAUUGAAUGGUCCGGUGAAGCCUCGGGAUUGUGGCGGUUGCCUUUAUUGGUGGCCGCCGCGAGAACUUGUCUAAACCUUAUCAUCUAGAGGAAGGUGAAGUCGUAACA